Molecule: long non-coding RNA, 1007 nt
Filed under: Coturnix japonica (Japanese quail)
Lineage: Eukaryota; Metazoa; Chordata; Aves; Galliformes; Phasianidae
Description: lncRNA (ENSCJPG00005000573.1)
Source: RNAcentral
CAGAUGUGUAUGUCUGGAAAAUAUAGUGCCUUGCUACAUGACAUCCACGCAUUGUUAUUGUGAAGGAGGUGUGCUGCAAGGCUGCAGCUGGCAGCUGUGAGAAAACGCAUCACUUACAGCAGAGACCUUCAGACCUAGGCUAGCGUUGCCAGCAGCUGAAAUUCCUGGAGCUGUAAACACUGUUGAUAUUGUCUAAAGAUAAAAUAAAAUAAAAUAGUUCAGGAAGACCUGACAAAUGUGCUCUUUCCCCUGCAUCAGUGUGGUAGGGAUGGAUACUGUUUUAUACACAUGGCUGGUUGUUCACUAGUAAAGUACCAAUCCAAAAAGGCUGUUUAACAACAGUUAAUUCCACUUAACACGGGCUAGGAAAUCAUGCAGGGAAUUCACCACCAGCCUGGCCACUGGGGGAAAACAACUGGUGUUGCCACCUACAAGGAACUCAAACAGCUCAGCAUCCACCUGCUCCCAACAGGUGGGCACCCAGCAUAUAUUACAGAUUGCAUAGAGAACAGCUGAGGGAUGAUACCCUCCCUUAAAUCAAGCUUGUUUACAUUUACUUGAAUAGUGGCUUACUUAAAUUCUUUACAAAGGAGUAGUCAGAAUUUGAAGAGAAGAUUCUGCUUCAUGGGCUGAUUCUUUACACCCAGCUCUCUCUUGAUUAUUCUUGCAAAAUAGCUGUGAUCCCAUUUUAUACAAGGUUACAAGAAAAGAGUGCAGAGUCAGCUCUCUGGACUGAAGAUUGCACUGGUCAUGCUGGUACCCAAGAAGGCUAUACCACCUCUUCUGCUUUUCCUCCACACGAACAAAUGAUGAAGACAACUUGGGAAGGAGGUGUACAGAUGGAAAGGAUUGCUCUGAAUCCCCAGCAAGCAUGUGUGCCAUGUUCAACUUGAAAUAAGAGAACCCUGCAAUUGGAAAAAGCAGAUAAACAGCAGUACUAAAUACUGAAAGGUAGAUAUCCCUUAAAGCUAACAGAAGGAGAAAAAAAAUCAGCAUUUUAAAGUAAA